GCUUCAGUGAGGCCCCACUGCUANCGGANNGAGAUUUAGACGUGCGUGUGGGACGUUCCCCUGUUGCGGGGAGCGUGGCGUACGGCUCAGUAACACGUAGUCAACCUGCCCUGGAGACAAGGACAACCCCGGGAAACUGGGAUUAAUCCUUGAUAGGUCAUCUCAUCUGGAAGGAGAGAUGGCUUAAAGGGGUACGCGGGCUUCUUCCGCGAAUUCGCUCCAGGAUGGGACUGCGUCCGAUCAGGCUGUUGGCGGGGUAAUGGCCCACCAAACCUGUAACCGGUACGGGCCUUGAGAGAGGUGGCCCGGAGAUGGACACUGAGAGAAGGGUCCAGGUCCUACGGGGCGCAGCAGGCGCGAAACCUUCGCAAUGCGCGAAAGCGUGACGAGGUUAAUCCGAGUGACUCCCGCUGAGGGGGUCUUUUGUCAGCUGUAAAUAGGCAGGCGAAUAAGGGGAGGGCAAGCCUGGUGUCAGCCGCCGCGGUAAUACCAGCUCCUCGAGUGGUCGGGGCGAUUAUUGGGCCUAAAGCAUCCGUAGCCGGUUCCGUAGGUCCUCUGUUAAAUCCAACCGCUCAACGGUUGACCUGCAGAGGAUACCGCGGGACUAGGAGGCGGGAGAGGCGGACGGUACUCCGCGUGUAGGGGUAAAAUCCUUUGAUCCGCGGAAGACCACCAGUGGCGAAGGCGGUCCGCCAGAACGCGCUCGACGGUGAGGGAUGAAAGCUGGGGGAGCGAACCGGAUUAGAUACCCGGGUAGUCCCAGCCGUAAACGAUGCUAGCUAGAUGAUUCAUUCGCAAGUCGCGAAUGAAGUGUCGCAGGGAAGCCGUUAAGCUAGCCGCCUGGGGACUCCGGUCGCAAGACUGAAACUUAAAGGAAUAAAAGGGGAGCA
Molecule: ribosomal RNA, 890 nt
Filed under: uncultured archaeon
Lineage: Archaea
Description: bacterial SSU rRNA
Rfam family: Archaeal small subunit ribosomal RNA
Source: RNAcentral